CUUGUUUGAAGAUACAAAGCCAAAGACUCAUACCGACUUCGGCUACACCAUCAAAGCUUUGUGAGGCAAUAAGAAGCUUGGUUAGUUUUUCGGAAUCAAAUAUGGCUAGAUGUCAUGUGUAUGAUUGAGUAUAAGAACUAGAACCGCAACUAAUUCCCAAAAGCUAAAUUAAUGUUUCCUUGUUAGAAGAUACAAAGCUAAAAACUCAUACGGACUUCGGCUAAGCCAUUCAUGUUUUGAGAAGCAAUAGGAAGCUUGGUUAUUUUUUUGGAGUCAAAUAUGACUGAUGUCAUGUGUAUGAUUGAGUAUAAGAACUAGAACCGCAACCGUUUCCCAAAAGCUAAAGUAGUGUUUCCUUGUUAGAACAUACAAAGCAAAAGAAUCAUAUGGACUUCAGCUACACCAUCAAAGCUUUGAGGAACAAUAAGAAAAGCUUUGUUAUGGUUUUGGAGUCACAUAUGACUAGAGGUCAUGUGGAUGAUUGAGUAUAAGAACUAGAACUGCAACUGGUUCCCAAAAGCUAAAGUAAUGUUUCCUAGUUAGAAGAUACAAAGCCAAAGACUCAUACGGACUUUGGCUACACCAUCAAAGUUUUGAGAAGCAAUAAGUAGCUUGGUUAGUAUUUUGGUGUCAAAUAAGACUAGAUGUCAUGUGUAUGAUUAAGUAUAAGAACUUUAACCACAACUGAUUCCCAAAAGCUAAAGUAAUGUUUCCUUGUUAGAAGAUACAAAGCUAAAAACUCAUACGGACUUCGGCUAAGCCAUCAAAAUUUUGAGAAGCAAUAAGAAGUUUGGUUAGUGUUUUGGAGUCAAAUAUGACUAGAUGUCAUGUGUAUGAUUGAGUAUAAGAACUAGAACCGCAACCGUUUCCCGAAAGCUAAAGUAGUGUUUCCUUGUUAGAAGCUACAAAGCCAAAGACUCAUACAGACUUCGGCUACACCAUCAAAGUUUUGAGAAGCAAUAAUAAGCUUGGUUAGUAUUUUGGAGUCAAAUAAGACAAGAUGUUAUGUGUUUGAUUGAGUAUAAGAACUAGAACCGCAACAUCUUCCGAAAAGCUAAAGUUGUGUUUCCCUUCUAGAAGAUACAAAGCCAAAAACUCAUACGGACUUUGGCUACACCAUCAAAGCUUUAAGAAGCAACAAGAAGUUUGGUUAGUGUUUUGGAGUCAAAAA
RNAcentral lists this small RNA (1171 nucleotides) under Arabidopsis thaliana (thale cress). RNAcentral's name for it is "ATSL197430". Lineage: Eukaryota; Viridiplantae; Streptophyta; Magnoliopsida; Brassicales; Brassicaceae. The record is from RNAcentral.